GCCAGUGUUGAUCAGUGGCUGUCCAGGCCUUUCAGAGCCACUGACACGCCGGCAGCACAAUGAUGAUGUCACUGAUUCUACUGCUGGCCACCCUGGGGCUCCUUGUUCAGGAUUCAUCAGGAGAAAUCAUCCUGACUCAGUCUCCUGGAGCUCAGUCUGUUGUUCCAGGACAGACUGUCUCUCUCAGAUGUAAAGCCAGUUCAGGUGUUAGUAAUGACUUGCAGUGGUACCUUCAGAAACCUGGAGAAUCUCCUGAACUUUUGAUUAGUUAUGCUACAACCCGUCAGUCUGGAGUUUCAGAUCCUUUCAGUGGGAGUCAGUCUGGAACUGACUUCACUUUGACCAUCAGAGGAGUCCAGACUGAAGAUGCAGGAGUUUAUUACUGUCACCAAGGUGGUUACAGCUUCCCAUUCACACAGUGAUACAACGUCGUACAAAAACCUCCUUCAGCUGGAGAGGAACUGAUCUGACUCACCAGCUGCACAGAAAUGAAAACACUAGAUGUUUAAAUAUUAAUACAGUAUAAAAGAAAUAACAGCAAAAACAUGGAAAUACAGAAUAUGCAGAAGUAGUAUUUUUACUGAUAGUGUU
Molecule: non-coding RNA, 591 nt
Organism: Micropterus dolomieu (smallmouth bass)
Lineage: Eukaryota; Metazoa; Chordata; Actinopteri; Centrarchiformes; Centrarchidae
Source: the annotation of a RefSeq genome assembly